This 162-nucleotide ribosomal RNA is filed under the name uncultured bacterium. RNAcentral's name for it is "partial 16S ribosomal RNA". It matches the Rfam family "Bacterial small subunit ribosomal RNA", at positions 1339 to 1500 of the family's 1533-position model. The record is from RNAcentral.
UAAUCGCGGAUCAGCAUGCCGCGGUGAAUACGUUCCCGGGCCUUGUACACACCGCCCGUCACACCAUGAGAGUUGGGAAUACCCGAAGCCUGUGAGCUAACUGUAAAGAGGCAGCAGUCGAAGGUAGAAUCAAUGAUUGGGGUGAAGUCGUAACAAGGUAAC